Molecule: ribosomal RNA, 2451 nt
Filed under: chicken gut metagenome
Description: Bacterial large subunit ribosomal RNA
Rfam family: Bacterial large subunit ribosomal RNA
Source: RNAcentral
UCAAGCUACUAAGGGCAUAAGGUGGAUGCCUUGGCACCAAACGCCGAAGAAGGACGUGACAAGCUGCGAAAAGCUGCGGGGAGUUGCAAAUAAACAUUGAUCCGCAGAUAUCCGAAUGGGGAAACCCGGCUAUAGCGAUAUAGUCACCUGCAUAUGAAUAAAAUAGUAUGUGUGGAGGGAACCUAGGGAACUGAAACAUCUCAUUACCUAGAGGAAAAGAAAGUAAAAACGAUUUCCUGAGUAGUGGCGAGCGAAAGGGAAAGAGCCCAAACCUUGAUACAGCGAUGUAUUGAGGGGUUCGGACUCACAUGACGCUUAUGAAGGAUAGCGGAAGCGUGUGGAAACGCGCACCGUAGGGAGUGAAAGUCUCGUACGCGAAAUUCAGAGUAAGCAGUGAGUAUCCAGAGUACCGCGGGGCACGUGGAAUCCUGCGGGAAGGAAGGAGGACCAUCUCCUAAGGCUAAAUACGAUUUGGUGACCGAUAGAGUAAUAGUACUGUGAAGGAAAGGUGAAAAGAACCCCGGGAGGGGAGUGAAAGAGAACCUGAAACCCUGUGUUUACAAGCUGUGGAACACCUUUAUAUGGUGAACCGCGUACUUUUUGUAGAACGGUCCGGCGAGUUGCGCAUGCAGGCAAGGUUAAGCACUAAAGGUGCGGAGCCGUAGGGAAACCAAGUCUUAAUAGGGCCAGAGUCGGUAUGCGCAGACCCGAAACCGGGUGACCUAUCCAUGUCCAGGUUGAAGCUGCCGUAAAAGGCAAUGGAGGACCGAACCCACAUCCGUUGAAAAGGGUGGGGAUGAGGUGUGGGUAGGGGAGAAAUUCCAAUCGAACCCGGAGAUAGCUGGUUCUCCUCGAAAUAGCUUUAGGGCUAGCCUCAUGUUAGUCUUACGGAGGUAGAGCACUGAAUUCCUGCGGGGGCGUCAAAGCUUACCAAGGGAUAUCAAACUCCGAAUGCCGCGGAACCGAUGGACGGGAGUCAGACCGCACGAGAUAAGUUGGGCGGUCAAAAGGGAAAGAGCCCAGACCUGCAGCUAAGGCCCCAAAGUGUGUGUUAAGUGGAAAAGGAUGUGGGAUUUCAAAGACAACCAGGAUGUUGGCUUAGAAGCAGCCACACAUUAAAAGAGUGCGUAAUAGCUCACUGGUCGAGUGAUGGUGCGCCGAAGAUUACCGGGGCUCAAACCUGACACCGAAGCUUGGGGAUAGCAGUAAUGUUAUCGGUAGAGGAGCAAUGCGUACGGGCAGAAGCUGUAUCGGAAGAGGCAGUGGACUGUACGGAAGAGAGAAUGCCGGCAUAAGUAGCGAGAGGGAGGCGAGAAACCUCCCCGUCGAAAGUCUGAGGUUUCCUGGGGAAGGUUCGUCCGCCCAGGGUAAGUCGGGACCUAAGCCGAGGCCGAAAGGCGUAGGUGAUGGACAACGGGUUGAGAAUCCCGUACCGCCGACACACGAUGUAUGAGGCAGUGACACAGAGGGAUAGUCCAAGCGCGCGGAUGGAAAAGCGCGUCCAAGGCGAAGCGUUGGCAGGCAGUGAAGUACGCCUGUCGGAAGGCGUAGCGCUGACGGGGAGCGGACUAGGGAAGCGAAGUGGAUGAAUCCGCACUGGCGAGAAAAGCUGCUAAAUAGUGUGAAGGUGCCCGUACCGCAAACCGACACAGGUAGACGAGAAGAAAAUUCUAAGACGAACGGGAGAACCCUUGUUAAGGAACUCGGCAAAAUGACCCCGUAACUUCGGGAGAAGGGGAACCGCGCAAGCGGUCACAGAAAAGAGGCCCAAGCGACUGUUUAUCAAAAACACAGGUUUCUGCGAAAGCGCAAGCUGACGUAUAGGAGCUGACGCCUGCCCAGUGCCGGAAGGUCAAGGGGAAGUGUUAGAGCAAUCGAAGCACCGAACUUAAGCCCCGGUGAACGGCGGCCGUAACUAUAACGGUCCUAAGGUAGCGAAAUUCCUUGUCGGGUAAGUUCCGACCCGCACGAAUGGCGUAAUGAUUUGGGCGCUGUCUCAACAGUGAACUCGGUGAAAUUGUAGUAUAUGUGAAGAUGCAUAUUACCCGCGACUGGACGGAGAGACCCCGUAGAGCUUUACUGCAGCUUGAUAUUGAAUUUCGGUAAUUGAUGCACAGGAUAGGUGGGAGGCUGAGAAGUCGGCGCUUCGGCGUCGGCGGAGCCGCUGUUGGGAUACCACCCUUUGAUUAUUGAGGUUCUCACUUUGCGCCGUGACCCGGGCGAAGGACAGUGUCAGGUGGACAGUUUGACUGGGGCGGUCGCCUCCUAAAGAGUAACGGAGGCGCUCAAAGGUUCUCUCAGAAUGGUUGGAAACCAUUUGCAGAGCGUAAAGGUACAAGAGAGCUUAACUGCGAGACAAACGAGUCAAGCAGAUACGAAAGUAGGACUUAGUGAUCCGGCGGUAGAGAAUGGAAUUGCCGUCGCUUAACGGAUAAAAGUUACCUCGGGGAU